This 523-nucleotide ribosomal RNA is filed under the name uncultured bacterium. Its description in RNAcentral is "bacterial SSU rRNA". It matches the Rfam family "Bacterial small subunit ribosomal RNA", at positions 8 to 518 of the family's 1533-position model. The record is from RNAcentral.
AGAGUUUGAUCCUGGCUUAGGACUGAACGCUAGCUACAGGCUUAACACAUGCAAGUCGAGGGGCAGCAGAUCGAUAGCUUGCUAUUGAUGCUGGCGACCGGCGCACGGGUGAGUAACGCGUAUCCAACCUUCCCUAUAGUAGAGGAUAGCCCGGCGAAAGUCGGAUUAAUACUCUAUGUUUUCCGAAGCAGACAUCUAAUUUGGAACAAAGGUUUUACCGCUAUAGGAUGGGGAUGCGUCUGAUUAGGUAGUCGGCGGGUAACGGCCCACCGAGCCAACGAUCAGUAGGGGUUCUGAGAGGAAGGUCCCCCACAUUGGAACUGAGACACGGUCCAAACUCCUACGGGAGGCAGCAGUGAGGAAUAUUGGUCAAUGGGCGAGAGCCUGAACCAGCCAAGUAGCCGUGCAGGAUGACGGCCCUAUGGGUUGUAAACUGCUUUUAUACGGGGAUAAAGUGAGGGACGUGUCCCUUUUUGUAGGUACCGUAUGAAUAAGGACCGGCUAAUUCCGUGCCAGCAGCAGC